RNAcentral lists this long non-coding RNA (1751 nucleotides) under Musa acuminata (dwarf banana). RNAcentral describes it as "long non-coding RNA (MACU_LNC001169)". Lineage: Eukaryota; Viridiplantae; Streptophyta; Magnoliopsida; Zingiberales; Musaceae. The record is from RNAcentral.
AGAGAGAGAGAGAGAGAGAGAGAGAGAGAGCAAUUAAAACAUGAAACAUAACCAUAUUUGUUUUCAUUUUCUGCAUCAUGAUUCUGAAGUUGUAGGUAAAACUACUGGAUUCAAAACAUACUACCCACCAUGUAGUCACAAUCAAGAACACAUGUUGUUCAAGCAAGAAGAACAUUUUUUUCUCUUGCACAUGAGAAUAAUUUGCUGCAUUUCAGUAGAACAGAAGCUUCCUACCACUGAAUUUGAUGUUGUGGACAAUUGAUCUGAACAAUGUGCUGAAGAUUUAGCCAGCUUCAACAGAAACAUGUCACUUGCUUCAAUUCCUUGUGGUCCAUGCAAAAGUCUUCAAGGGAAGCUUCUGAUCCAACAUGAAUACAUCACCACUCCCACUCUUCAAUUAUGGCAUUAGGUAACAAGUGGAUAGAAAUUGUUUGAUUUACAAAUUCUUAUUAAUCAGAUAUAGAAGAUUUCCAAAAUGCUAAGGUAAAGAGUCAUGGCCAUAUAAAAUUUGAUAUGCUUCAAUUUUUGAAAUGUAGAAAGUGGAAUUUAGCACCAUCAUGUUUGGACACUGAGAUUGCCUAAGAAUGAUGAUACAAAGCAUGAGUAAAAGCACUGUGAAAUCAACAGCAGUGGAUACUGUUGUUUCCUGUCAAAUGAGAUCUCAAGAACUUUGUCCUAAUCAUGCAAGAUGGAAGACAUGUCAUCUGUUACAAGUAUCAACCAAGAAAUGUAGAAAGUGGGGUUCAACACACCAUCUUUGAACACUGAGAGUGCCUAACAAUGAUGACACAAAGAAGUAUCAGCAAAAGCAAUGCAAAUCAGCAGCAAUGGAAACUGAUAUAUCCUGUCCAAUGAGAUCUCAGGAACUUGUUCUAGUCAUGUAAGAUGGAAGAAGUAUCAACCAAGAAAUGUAGGAAGUGGUACUCAGCACCAUUAUUUUUGAACACUCAGAUUGCAUAACCAUGAUGAUACAAACAAAGUAUGAGCAAAAUCAAUACAAAUCAGCACUGUAUCUUGUCAAAUGAGAUCUCAAGAACUUUCCUCAAUCAUGUAAGAUGGAAGGCCUGUGAUUUGUUACAAGUAUCAAACAAGAAAUGUAGAAAGUGUAAUUCAACACCAUUAAUUUUUAACACUGAGAUUGCCUGAGAACGAUAACACAAAGCAUGAGUGAAAAAAAGCAAUAGAGAAAUCAGCUAUGAUGCUGCUGUAUCCUGUCAAAAUGAGAUCUCAAGAAUUUGUCCUAAUCAUGUAAGAUGGAAGAAGAAGAAUCAACCAAAAAAUGUAGAAAGUGGAAUUCAACACCAUCUGUUUUGAACAACACUGAGAUUGCCUAAGCAUGAUCAUACAUGGUAUGAGCAAAAGAAAGCAAUAGAAAUCAACAGGAACGGAGACUGCUGUAUUCUAUCAAAGAAGAUCUCAACAACUUGUUCUAAUCAUGUAGAACAACACCACAAUUCUUCAUCCCAGGACAAGAUCCAUGUUCCGCAUCAUCCCUGUGGUUGAGACCCUGUGUCAGGGGAGCAAGAGGCAGCAAAGAGAGAAGCAGAGUCACCAAAGGCUUUCUCCUCAAGCUAUCUGAAACUCCCGGAGCUGUGUUCUUGCCUCAGAUCUUCUCGUCCCAGGCGGAGCUCGGCAUCGGUCGGCGACGCCGCCGGCGCUCCAUGGGCUUGAUAUGGGGCCUUGGUGCUGAUCCUGUAAGCAUUUCGACCGAGAGACGCUUAGAUGCAGCUCGUAAAACACAAGAUUGAUGC